This is a long non-coding RNA of Coregonus clupeaformis (lake whitefish), 308 nucleotides long. RefSeq lists it as uncharacterized. The transcript is spliced from 2 exons. The record is from RefSeq and is a predicted model, not a curated record. Lineage: Eukaryota; Metazoa; Chordata; Actinopteri; Salmoniformes; Salmonidae.
CAGACAUACAUUAGAGCUGAGGUUAGAAGUAGAAGUUACUGUAUUUGACAACAAGUGUGUUAAGAUGUCAGAAGGAGUCUAUGAAAACUCAGAUGGAUUUGAAGACGACGAGCCUGAUGCAAUGAAGAACACAGACAUUGAUGGCCAAUUAUAUGCCAACGUAAGAGCCUUCAAGCCCAGUCCAAGAGAUGGAGUUGUUGCUUCAGUACAUUUUCAGUGGUGGAAGAGACCCUCUGGAGUUGCUGCAGUGUGUCUGGGGCUGCUGUGUGUUCUCCUACUGGCUGGGAUCAUAGGCCUGUCUGUCUACU